GAGACAGAUAAUGAGAGAAAAGAGAGGCAUCAUCGUGCUGCCAAUCCUCCAAAUGAAAUGUUCCCGACCAUUGGAUUCAAAAAGUUGGAGCUCUUUGAAGAUUCCAGGUGCCAGCUCGUCAGCAUGGCAACUUUGCUUCGCCAUCCUGCGUUUCGCCAUCGUCUUCAUGACCAUGCCUGGUUCUAUGUAGGCACGUCCCCGAGAGAGUAAGCAACGCCACUCAUCGUGGGUAUGAUGGCAUCUGCUAAGUCAUAAUGGAGAUAUGCGACUUGUCUUGUUAUUCUCGUUGGCACGCGCCAACCUUCGGCAGCGUGCCAGGAUCUCUGCACUGCAGUAUGCCGCUGGGAAGUUGGCGGUGGCUUGGGAAUGGCAGAGUGCCAGCAUGUUCCUGCGGUAACCAGCCCCUGACGCGUGCCACUUGGCAAAGACAAAGAGCCCUAGGGACGAAACACAAAACAAGAUUGAAAAACACAGUGAUCCGACAGCUUAAUUAACACUCGCAGAGUUUGUUGGGUUAAUUAGUGUGACAGAUGUGGUGAGGAGGAAUAUGGCAGAAACACUUGUGAGAACAAAAGUGAUGGGCAACCCAGACUGAUGGAAUGUCAUCGGAUGCCAUCAGUAACUCCGCCAACCCUGUGCCAAUGACAAUUUACAUUCAAUAAAGUUUUUCUUUUUUUUAAAGGAUAAAUGGAAUGAAAAGGAAAAAAUCUAGAAACUGUCAUACAAAAACAAGUUUGUUUCAAAUUUUGGACAAGACAGAAGUUUGAAGAAACAACUGUGGAAACAAGCAAACAGGGAGGAGCUAAAGAAACCACAGGCCAUGACUUAUACAGUGACUCAACAGAUCAAUUCAAACACUAAAGUCAUUAUGGAAUAUGGAUUUUAUGUACUACAAAACCAAAACAGUAUGGAUUGCUCAAAUGAACACAAGAAAGAGUGAAUUUUCUCUGGUAUGUUGGGAACACCAAAAAGAUACAUGUUGGCCGGUAUUAGUAUGGUGUAAUUUACCAGGUAGAUGCACUACUUUUGCAAUUUAAUGGACUUACAAGAGCUUUCCAAAUGCAAAGACAGGACCUUAAACCAUCAUAUACGUAGUAAUGAGUGAUUUUGUGCUUGAAUACCUGUUCUGAGUAUCCUCGACACUUCCUGUUGAGUCAGAGAGAAGAUUAUGAGAGUGAGUGAGAAGAAUUCAGUCCUUCACUGGAUGCAUUUGACAUUGUAGAGGAGCAUAAAUAAUACAGAUUUUCUCUCUUCCUCUUCCUUCUGGUGUUUUCUGAAGUAAGGGAUUUACUCACCUUUGUGCUUCGAAUCUUUCAUUGGCAUUGUUCUCGUCGAAUGACACAGGAUUGGUUCCAAAAUGGACAUUGUUUUCAGCAUAUCCUAUGAUAAACAAGUUCAAAUCGACAUUAACAACCUCAUGAAAUGAGCCGUUUAAUUUGCUGGGGGUUUUUUUGCCUUCACGUCUUUCUUUGUACCGAUUGUGGACAAUUAUGUAUGGAUAUGCUAAUCACGCUGUAUUAAUGAGGUUUGUAUCGCUGGGAUUCUUUUCUUUACUCCUGUGGGGAUCUUAAUUUUACCUCAUCUUUAUUAUGUAAAUGGAUUAUGCCAAAAAAACUGCACAUACACACACACACACACACACACACACACAUGUACACUAACAAAAAAGGGGGCGUCAAAGGAGGAGGGAAUAUGGCAACAGUGGAGGGGGGGGGGGUUGCAGAAAAUGGAGGAUACGCUCCCUCAGCAGCAACAAAAUGCAAGAGAUUUGCACAGAAAUCUGAAAGGAUCUUUCUCCUCAAUGCACCAUGUCCCAAGACACGACAAACAUUUUUUUUCUCUCUCUUUCUUGUAGCUAUUUUUACUGCAGUAGCCCUGCAAUGGAGUGACAGAGACAAAGAUGGGAUUUACUAGAUAGAGAGAGAGAGAGAGAGAGAGAGAGUGAGAGAGAGAGAAUUCGUUAAUAUCCUGCGCUUAAUCAUGGCACAUGAGAUUGGCUGUAUGCAUAUCUCAUUUGCAUCUCAUUAAAUUGCUCAUGCACCUGCAGAGAGAGGGGAGAGGGGCAGAUGAUGGCACAACGAGAAAAGAGGGUCUUGUUUCAAUAUCCAGACUUUUUCUUAAGCAGUUACUUCAUUUUAUGUUGAUAUAUAUAU
Long non-coding RNA from Carassius carassius (crucian carp), 2153 nucleotides. RefSeq lists it as uncharacterized. Lineage: Eukaryota; Metazoa; Chordata; Actinopteri; Cypriniformes; Cyprinidae. The transcript is spliced from 3 exons. The record is from RefSeq and is a predicted model, not a curated record.